Molecule: long non-coding RNA, 884 nt
Filed under: Rattus norvegicus (Norway rat)
Lineage: Eukaryota; Metazoa; Chordata; Mammalia; Rodentia; Muridae
Description: long non-coding RNA NONRATT015817
Source: RNAcentral
AGUGACUUAAUUCUCUAGACCUGUCAAUUGAAUUCCAGUUUUGAGAUUUUGGACACUUGGAGAUAAGUUGGAUGUGAUUAAGAACUCACAGAUACUUUCUUAGUUUCUUUUCUGUCACUGUGGUGAAAUACUCUUGACAAAAGCCACAUGAGGAGAAAGGGUUUAUUUUAGCUCAGAGCUCAUAAGUGAAAUUUUCUAACAUUCUAAUUUUCAACUCUCUUUUAGGACUAAUUGUCAGCCUAGAAAAGGAGCUCGCUCCCUUAUUUGAAGAACUGAUAAAAGUUGUGGAAGUGUCUUAAUCCAGCAGUGGUUCUGGUGCGUGCCUCGGCCUCCCUGCAGCAACCCUGGACCAGGCCAGCAACCUUCAGACCACACUCGUACUUGUAUCCAUGUAUUCAAAGGGCCGCCUUUCCACCGUACACUAAAGAAGAGCCUACCACUAUAAUUUAUAGACAGAUCAAUUGUUAUAUUUAUGUGUAUGAAGUCUUUUCUUCCUCAGUGAGACCUGGGAACGCCACAGAAAUGGUUCAUUCUAUUGCAGCUCCCAUGGAGUUAGUGCGGGCGCCUGAGAGAGCGGCCUCUGUCCAGCACAUCAGGGUGGGAUGGUACGGUGAGGCCGGAGCCCGCAAGCACACCUGAACUCUGCUCCACUCCAUAAGCCGUAGACCUUUACCGAGAUUGUAAUGAGGUCGUUUUCUUAUUAAGGUUAUAUUGUAUUUCUUCUCACUGUGAGGAAGAUGAAAUGGCUCAGUAAAAAUAAUCAAGUACAAUCGCUAACGCCCCUCUGCUCUCAGUGCGGUGAGUGUUACUAAUGGACUCGAUUCUUCAGGGUGCCGCUCCUCAGUGAGAAUGAAAUCACUACUCAGACUCUUCUGCUUCCCCUG